This 491-nucleotide ribosomal RNA is filed under the name uncultured bacterium. RNAcentral's name for it is "partial 16S ribosomal RNA". It matches the Rfam family "Bacterial small subunit ribosomal RNA", at positions 29 to 506 of the family's 1533-position model. The record is from RNAcentral.
AGUGAACGCUGGCGGUAGGCCUAACACAUGCAAGUCGAACGGCAGCACAGUAAGAGCUUGCUCUUACGGGUGGCGAGUGGCGGACGGGUGAGGAAUACAUCGGAAUCUACUUUUUCGUGGGGGAUAACGUAGGGAAACUUACGCUAAUACCGCAUACGACCUACGGGUGAAAUCAGGGGAUCUUCGGACCUUUCGCGAUUGAAUGAGCCGAUGUCGGGUUAGCUAGUUGGCGGGGUAAAGGCCCACCAAGGCGACGAUCCGUAGCUGGUCUGAGAGGAUGAUAAGCAAAACAGGAACUGAGAAACGGUCCAGACACCUACGGGAGGCAGAAGUGGGGAAUAUUGGAAAAUGGGCGAAAGCCUGAACCAGGCAUACCGCGUGGGGGAAGAAGGCCUUCGGGUUGUAAAGCCCUUUUGUUGGGAAAGAAAAGCAGCAGGUUAAUACCCCGCUGUUCUGACGGUACCAAAAGAAUAAGCACCGGCUAACUUCGU